GCUGUAGCUCAGUGGAAGAGCAUCUGCCUCUCAUGCAGAACGUCCCAGGUUCAAUCCCCGGCGUCUCCA
Molecule: non-coding RNA, 69 nt
Organism: Podarcis lilfordi (Lilford's wall lizard)
Lineage: Eukaryota; Metazoa; Chordata; Lepidosauria; Squamata; Lacertidae
Source: the annotation of a GenBank genome assembly